RNAcentral lists this ribosomal RNA (119 nucleotides) under Triticum aestivum (bread wheat). The record is from RNAcentral. RNAcentral also lists the same sequence under 1 other name. Lineage: Eukaryota; Viridiplantae; Streptophyta; Magnoliopsida; Poales; Poaceae.
GGAUGCGAUCAUACCAGCACUAAAGCACCGGAUCCCAUCAGAACUCCGAAGUUAAGCGUGCUUGGGCGAGAGUAGUACUAGGAUGUGUGACCUCCUGGGAAGUCCUCGUGUUGCAUUCC